Molecule: long non-coding RNA, 3151 nt
Organism: Nannospalax galili (Upper Galilee mountains blind mole rat)
Lineage: Eukaryota; Metazoa; Chordata; Mammalia; Rodentia; Spalacidae
Exons: 3
Source: RefSeq, a predicted model, not a curated record
AGGUCCCCAACUGCUGACCAAACUCCAGUCUAGGCAGCCACCUGGCCUGACGCUGGCCUGGCCUUGCUAUUUCAUUUGGCAGCUCCCAAGACCUGAGGGUAGGAAUUCUGGGCAGCUGGGAUCUGCCAGACCAUCCUGCAGCCCCAGCCCACCAUCCAGGGGCCCCCUGCCCCCAUUCCUGUCUGUAUUUGAGAGGACCAUCCCUACCCGGAGCUGGGAUCUGAUGCUUGCUGAUGCCAACAACUGAUACCAGAUGAACUGCAUGCCGUUCUCAUCACAACCCUAGGAAGGAGAUGCCAGCAGUGCCUCCGGACAGUAAGGGAAGAGCCCAAGGCACAGAAGACUAAGGCGUCUACCCCGGAUCACACAGCUAGACUGCAGUCAGAACCCAGGCAGACUCCAGAGUCUGAGGCACCAGCCACUACUCUGCACAGCCCCUCAGAUGCUGCUGUUAGGAGUGAUGAGCCCAGCUAGAGUGACUGUGUGGUUCGACCACAUUCUAAUUUCUCAAAUUACAAAUGAGUGACACAAGGUUAAUUGAGCAUCCACUAUGUGUAGUAUCCUGUGCUAAACUCCAAUGACAUAGAAAUGAGCACAGCAGACGUCAUCCUUGCAUGUAUGGAACUUGUGGACUAUUGGAGGAGAUGAGCCUUAAUAAGAUUAAUGAUCAUCAAAGAUGUUACUCAGUGGUGGGUGCUAUUUGGGAUGGAGCAAUUCACCACUGGCUCCAGACCUGUGGGUGCAAGACUCCUCUGCUGGCCUUCCUCUCCAUUCUACAGGAAACCUGCUGAUGAAGCCUGCGGUCUUCUGAGAGAAGAUCUUCUGAGAGAAGGUCUUCUGAGACCUUCUCUUUCAUAUGACAUGCCCGACCCUGGCUUUCUUCCUCUUGUUAGGCAGUGCUCAAAUGACAAACUUGGAUUUCAGAGGAGUCACAAAACCCAGCUCUGUCAUGUUCUUGGUGCUUUUUGGUAAGUUUUUUUGUCUCCUUACAGUAACAUCAGCCUCCUGUGUUGCUCUACCUCCAAAAAGCCUAGCUGAUAUAGCUCUCUCUGGGUACACUUUCUCAGCCACUUCCGGGGUAGCUCCACUUGUCACUGAUGGGCACUGGCUGUCUCCAGUUCUCUGUUUUCUGAGCUCUCCCGCGUGUUGACUUUUUCCUGACUUCUUUUGCUUCCUGUCUAGGUUAAGCUCAAGACCAUUAUUUUAGCCUCUCUCUGCUUCUCUCCCAGUUUCUCUCCUGACAACACCCCAAGCCAGGAUAGACCUCAGUAUUUUGCUUUCUUCAUGUCUACACCCAGCCGGUCCUUCGUGCUAGAUGGGACCAUGGUCGCUACCAACUUCCACAUAUCCCCUACACCACCCCAAAUCCUUACCCCAGGCUUCCCUUCUUUUCACCUAUUAUUUCCUCUAUUCCAGAAUUUUCUCUCUUUGAACUUUGUCCAUUCUCUUCAUCUUGAAUUUUUUCUAUGCUCUUUGUCAAGAUGCAGCUUUCCCUUCCUCAGAGAAAACUGAAGCCAGGAGCAGACCCUCUAGAAAAGGUGCACACCUGCUUUUCUCCCUGCCCUCCAUCCAGGGGCACCUGUGUCUAUAGCCCCAAUUCUCAGCUCAGAAGCUCACCCACUUUCCUUCCCAGUGCCAGCACCUUGGUUCAAGUCAACCUCAUCUUUCACCUGGAUUACUGAAGUAACUGCUCCUAGCAUCCAGAUGGGCCCUUACCAAAUCUGGCCUUUGACAAUGUAGUCCUCUUUAUCUUCAGUGAAAACUUAACACUGUCAUUCCAGUGACUGGAUCUUAGUGUGCUCCCUGAUGUAGCCCCAAGACUCUUCAUGGUUUGGCCCCUACCUACCUCCCUGACAUGGAUCACCACUCCUGUGCACACGUGCACACACACACACACACACACACGCACGCACGCACGCACGCAUACACGCACACGCAGAGGUGUUUUUUCAGGCCCUGGCAUUGCCAGGCACCCUCUGAGUCCACGGUCCUCUAUUCACACAGCCCUCUCCUCCCUGGAACCCACCCACCUCUUCAUUUUAAAAAGUCUGUUUGACAUGGAUAAUGGGGAAAGCUAUGGAUAUGUGGGAACAAGGAAUAUAUAGGAAAUCUCUGCUCAGUUUUACUGUCAAUCUAAAACUGCUCUCAAACACAAUCUUAAAAAGAAAGCCAUUUUUCUUCAGACCCCCUAUUCCUGUUUAGACUGUGAGCUUCUCAUUCCUAUCCUCCCAGGUAACAUGUCAAUUCUAAUAAAGUGUGUUCAUCUUCUGUUUAUUUUCUGACAGCCAUUCCACUACAAUGACAAGCUCUGGGAACACAGGAACAUUCUAUGGUGCUGGGGAUGGAACCCAGAGCCUGUACAUGCCAGUCAAACACUACCUGGCCCAACACAGGAACAUUCUAGAUCUCAGGGAUAAACAAGCUUUUUCUACAAAAGGCCAGAAUAAGGGACUACCAUGUUCAAGGCUCUGAGUGUUAUCCCCAAUGCCAAACAAGCAAACAAAAAGCAACAACAUUUGAAUUUCUACAGAGUGCUUUGCAACACAGACUUCCACAGCAAUUUCCCUCUGAACACCUAGGACAAGCAUGGUCCUCUCAAGCCUGUCUUUGCUCUGUAGAUCUGCAGGGUCUGAAGCCUCCACUGGGAAUGAACCCAACCUGCUCAUAUCUUGGCCUUGGGCUUGCUCAGAAGUUACCAGAAAAGGGGAAUCUGGAGACCAUCUAGAAUUCCUGCCUGGCAGAGGCCCUCUUCCCAGAAUUGUCUCCACCUUUGUUUACUCCCGCCAGUGAGUUUUUUUCUUCCCCUUCCCUCCCUUCUACCACCUCCUCCCCUUCCUCUUUCUGUUCCUCCUUCAGAAACAGCGUCUCACUCCUAAGCCCAGACUGGCCUCGAACUUGCUUUAUAGGCAGAGCUGGCCUUGAACUUCUGAUCCUCCUGUCUCUACCUCCUGUGUGCUGGGAUUAUAAUGUGUGACUUCAUGCCAGUUUCUGACAUGCUGGGGAUCAAGUUCAGGGUUUCCUGCUUGCUAGGUAAGCACUCUACCAACUGAGUCACAUCCCUAGAUAUAUGGUUUUUAAAAUGUAAUAUUAUAUAUUACAUGGUUUUACAGGAGAAGGAACAAUUUAUUUGUUUGAGACAGGGGUUCAUGUA